This 427-nucleotide ribosomal RNA is filed under the name uncultured bacterium. RNAcentral describes it as "bacterial SSU rRNA". It matches the Rfam family "Bacterial small subunit ribosomal RNA", at positions 355 to 774 of the family's 1533-position model. The record is from RNAcentral.
UGGGGAAUUUUGGACAAUGGGCGAAAGCCUGAUCCAGCAAUGCCGCGUGCAGGAUGAAGGCCUUCGGGUUGUAAACUGCUUUUGUACGGAACGAAAAAGCUUCUCCUAAUACGAGAGGCCCAUGACGGUACCGUAAGAAUAAGCACCGGCUAACUACGUGCCAGCAGCCGCGGUGAUACGUAGGGUGCGAGCGUUAAUCGGAAUUACUGGGCGUAAAGCGUGCGCAGGCGGUUAUGUAAGACAGAGGUGAAAUCCCCGGGCUCAACCUGGGAACUGCCUUUGUGACUGCAUGGCUAGAGUGCGGCAGAGGGGGAUGGAAUUCCGCGUGUAGCAGUGAAAUGCGUAGAUAUGCGGAGGAACACCGAUGGCGAAGGCAAUCCCCUGGACCUGUACUGACGCUCAUGCACGAAAGCGUGGGGAGCAAACA